UUUUCUCCUCUCUCUCUCUCUCUCUCUCGAAUGAAGAAUGAAGAAUGCUUCGACGACGGUUGAGGAGAUUCAUGUUAAACAAUCUUAAGACUGGCACGAAACGAUUACAAUCUGUUGGGGUUCUUCUUCCUCGCGGUGAUCUGAUCUAGGGUUUUGAGGCACAUUCAAC
Long non-coding RNA from Capsella rubella, 169 nucleotides. RefSeq lists it as uncharacterized. The transcript is spliced from 3 exons. NCBI's taxonomy places the organism in Eukaryota, Viridiplantae, Streptophyta, Magnoliopsida, Brassicales, Brassicaceae. The record is from RefSeq and is a predicted model, not a curated record.